GCUGGCUGGCCGGCUUGGCCGGCCACUGCUUGUCGCUGUUUGCCAGCUUGAUAAUCUUAUUGUGGCCCGGCCUCCCCCCCUUCAUGACCCCCCCCAGCAUGGCAAGGGUAGAGGGCCUCCGGCGACAACAUCAGCAGCGGCUGAAAGUCAAUUGAUGAUACAAUUGAUGGAGCGACAAGACGACAUCCAGAAAUAGAACACGUUAAUUACGGGGCCCCGAUAAGAGUUACUGGACGGCCAAAGCCCACAGCCGAGAGCCGAGAGUCGAGAGCCGAGAAGAGAGUCGUCAAAGUUGAGAAAGGCACUGGGAACCAUACGCUAAGGGGUUUCCAGCCUCAGCCUCUAGCUUGGAUCUGUUCCAUAAUCAACUCCAAAUAGAUGGGAAAUAUUUCUACGAAAUGCCAGACGCCGAUUCCCUUUGGCACUCCCGACGCCGAAGAUUUCGACGUCACUUGACGGAAGCUCACCAAUACCAACGCAACGAAACGAAAAAAAACCAAAUUGGUAAAAAUCAAGUGAAAAUUGUCAUAGAAAAACUAUAUUCUCCCCUUGCUCGGCUCAUAAUGGCGAGUGGCGUCCCUCGUGAUUACUUUUGCGAGUGAAAUCUUCGACCAGCAAAGGGGCAUCAACAAUCAAGACGUAGUCACGCUCGGUUGCGCCUCUGGGCAGCCUCCUGGGGAUCUGCGGUGGGCAGCUACCGGGAGAGCAUGGCCUGGGACCAAACCGGGAUCGAUGACGACGAAGCCAAGCCCCGGGAGGGAAGGGAAGCCAACGAACGAUGCUGUUUGGGGAAUACAGCCGAAAUUCUUGGCGAUCUGAGGCCAGGCGAUGGUGUGACCAGGCUGGACUGCUCUGACAGACCCGUGGAGAGGAUCUCACAUGUUCUCGCACAGCGGGUCCAGCGUGCAAAGACAGUGCCUGGGACAAACAGCUAUGUAAGCAACUAGGUGCUGGUGGCACCCUUGGCGCACGUGUCAUCCUUUGACACUGAAUGGGAGGGUAUCGAUGUUCAUGAUUGACUGUAUUGACACACUGUAUUGGCUGUUUCUGGAUCAAAGAGUCACCUUGACACGCUUGGAAAAUGGCUUGGCCGAGUAUAAAAAUGAUCCUGCCGUGAUCAGAUCCCAUGGAUAAAAUGAAUUCGGACUUAUGUGAAGGUAUGCCCAGCCAGAGCCAAAGCAUGCAUGUAGGUCAGGAUACAAUCGUGGAGCUAGCCACCGAAUAUGAGGCUGCACCGAAGCAGGUCUCCAAAGAGGAUGUGCCGUUUUCCAUGCGUUCUUUGUUCCAGAAACAGCUCGUCAAUGCUGUCAAUGAAACAUCGAUACCCUCCCGUCCACUGUCAAAGGAUGAGACGUACGCCAAGGGUGUACCGGGAGCUGCGCUAAACAUAACCUACCCACCUGUUCUUGCUCGCUGGACCCGCCCUGUGAGAACUGUGAGAUCCUAUUCAUAGGUCUGUGAGAUCAGUCCAGCCUGGUCACACUAUCGAGUGGCCUCAGUCGAUUAUCGCUAAUAAUUUCGGCUGGAUUCGCCAAACAGCAUCGUUCGUUGGCUUCCCUUCCCUCCCGGGGGGGCGCCCCCGAACGUGGCUACGUCUUGAUUGUUGAUGCCCCUUUGCCCACACCAAUGGAUGGGUGUGCGUAAUCACGAGGGACGCCAGUUGCCAUUGUGUGUAUUAUUGGUGGUAUAUACUAUAGUGUAGUAUAGUUUUUCACUUGAUUUUUACCAAUUCACCAAUAAAAAUAUUCAUAAUUGGUAGUAA
Molecule: RNA transcript, 1762 nt
Organism: Drosophila pseudoobscura
Lineage: Eukaryota; Metazoa; Arthropoda; Insecta; Diptera; Drosophilidae
Exons: 4
Source: RefSeq, a predicted model, not a curated record